Molecule: non-coding RNA, 850 nt
Organism: Paramuricea clavata
Lineage: Eukaryota; Metazoa; Cnidaria; Anthozoa; Malacalcyonacea; Plexauridae
Source: the annotation of a GenBank genome assembly
UAAAAUAUUUUAUCGUGAUUUCUACUUUUUUACUAUGUCGCACAGCGAAGAUUCUCUUAGUUACUCUAGCUUAGAGUCUGAUAACAUAACGGAGAGCAAUUUAGAAGGAAAUAUGAACGUAACGAAUUGUUUUGAGCCGUAUCAAGGGGAACUAUUGCCAGUACAGACGACAGCGAAUCUUCUGAUGAGGAACAGGACGAAGAUUACAUUUUGCCAUCUGUUUUGGAGAAGCGUUUAGAAAAAAUAUUCCAUUAGCACAUUGGUGAGUUCUACAAACAAAACUAAGUUACUUUAUUAUGAUUUUCAUGCAAUAUUUCCCUGAUAUUUGCCUUAUUAUUUAUCUCUGUUGCAGGUGUUCGUGUGGGAAUUGUGCCGAUCAAAAUCUGGCGAGUGUUCAGAGUACUGUUGCUGCAAAGAGAUUGUGUAAGUAACUGGAAAAUUUACUUGGAUUGGCAAGAAUGUUGAAUACAUCCUUAAUCAUCCUGACUUCAAUGCUAUGACAAAAGAGAAGUGAAGUUGGGCCUCUUCUAUUUACAAACAUGGAACUGAUGGAAGCUCCCAUGGAAUAAAAAAUGGCGCAGAUAAAAGGUACAUAUACUUCGGUUGUGCAUAUUAAUUCUGACUAGUAGCGAAAGUAAAACAACUUUACAGGUUCUAUAAAGAUAAAUUUGUGUUGUUGUAGAUUCCUCAGAGCAGUGUCAUAUCGUCGGCUGUUUGGCUUGAUGGGCUGGGAGAACACCAGCCCUUGUCACCAUGCAUUUACCAUCAUAUAAUGACUGCAUGUAUUUUGUACUGGUGAUGCUGGUAUAUAUCUGGAGAAGAGCAAACGGAUAAUGAUAACUGAAGUCAC